Molecule: long non-coding RNA, 336 nt
Organism: Canis lupus familiaris (dog)
Lineage: Eukaryota; Metazoa; Chordata; Mammalia; Carnivora; Canidae
Exons: 3
Source: RefSeq, a predicted model, not a curated record
AGGUUUUUCCCUCACCAAUUGAGCAGUUGGCUAAAUGAAGAUACAUCUUGACCUUAAGGAUUCAGUCAGUUCAAGGCUCUUUAUCUUCUCCUAGGAACAGACAACAGAUGUGGCCACUGUUUUAAUGGGGAGAAACUGAAAAUACAGAAGUAAAUAAAUAAACCACAUAAUUUCAGAGACUGCUGAGAGCUGUGAGGACAAUGACAAAUCCCUGGGUCACUUUGCCAUGCUUCACGAUGCUCUAUACAGUGAUUGGCAGCCAGAUGCCUAUCUUCCAGGGUUACUGUAAUAGGUAAUUAAGAUAACAUCGUUUUGGACACAGUGCCUGGUACACAG